CUGGAGAGGCGAUCAACAUUUGGAAGAGUGGAGCUAUCCAACUCUUCGUCAACAGUUACGGUGACCGACGAAGCAACCCAGAGUGGACUUCCUUCCUUCGACUGGACUCCACAAGGAACUGGAGCUUUGGUACCAGCAGCGGCCCCUUGCGCCCAUCUGCCUCCUCGAGGAGUGCAGACGAAUUUGGUACCACUGUCUUGGUCAAUAUACACAGAGAGAAAUAACAUACUGAACACCAAUAAACGCAACUUAACUGUCAGUUGACUUCCUACUUCCUAAGAGCUACAUCGAAAGCCAAAGGCAGUGAGGGGGCCACACGUCAAAGAAGUGAGGACUUAAAUCCUACAGUUGCAAGGAACUGAAUUCUGCCAAGAAUAAGCUUGGAAAAUGACUCUUCCCCAGGGCCUCCAAUGAGAAUUCAGCUGGGCCAUAACCCUGAUUGCAUCCUUGUGGUAACUUCAGCAGAGCCCUGUCCAGCCAUGCUGGGCCUCCAUACAGAACUGAGAAAAGGCUGCUGCUUGUGGUGAUGAUCAAUGGGGGACCGAUGUACAUGGACAUUUAUAUUGUUGGACUUGCACCUUUUACUUAUGCUUGUGCUUGAAUUAAAUCCGUUAUAACCAAAGAAGGGAUUUGAACAUGGAGUAAAGUUGGCUUGACUGCCUGUAUCCUGACCCCAUCAAGCAUGGAAUCACUACUAACAAAAUACGUGAAACAUGAUCAAAAACCCUGGAGGCUUAAGACAGCAACUCCAUUGACUCCAACAGGCACUUCAACAGAUUUUAACAGAUGUGAGAUGAAUGACACAAAAUAAAUAAAACCUAAUGUGAACAAUCAGCCACAAGAUGGCAUUUGAAUACUAAUGUAUUUAAAGUUUGGGGCAGUAACUUAAACACAUGGCUAUUUUAAUCUUUUCCCUUCCCCGGUCACUUUUUCUCAUAUUGCCAUGUAAGAAGAUCACAACUUUAUUUUCCCUGUAGCCUAAGUCUUAAACAUUUAUUUAUCAGCUUACUUUUAAUCUCUUGUGAUGGUUGAUUUUAUAUGUCAAUUUCACUGGGUCAUGAGGUGCUCAUUUUCUGUGUGUUUCUGUGGGGGUAUUUUUGGAUGAAAUUAACAUUAAAUUGGUAGACUGAAUAAAGC
This is a long non-coding RNA of Bos taurus (domestic cattle), 1137 nucleotides long. NCBI's taxonomy places the organism in Eukaryota, Metazoa, Chordata, Mammalia, Artiodactyla, Bovidae. The record is from Ensembl.